Molecule: ribosomal RNA, 363 nt
Filed under: Bacillus sp. enrichment culture clone K
Lineage: Bacteria; Bacillati; Bacillota; Bacilli; Caryophanales; Bacillaceae
Description: bacterial SSU rRNA
Rfam family: Bacterial small subunit ribosomal RNA
Source: RNAcentral
UAACGCGAAGAACCUUACCAGGUCUUGACAUCCUCUGACAACCCUAGAGAUAGGGCUUUCCCCUUCGGGGGACAGAGUGACAGGUGGUGCAUGGUUGUCGUCAGCUCGUGUCGUGAGAUGUUGGGUUAAGUCCCGCAACGAGCGCAACCCUUGAUCUUAGUUGCCAGCAUUCAGUUGGGCACUCUAAGAUGACUGCCGGUGACAAACCGGAGGAAGGUGGGGAUGACGUCAAAUCAUCAUGCCCCUUAUGACCUGGGCUACACACGUGCUACAAUGGACGGUACAAAGGGCAGCGAGACCGCGAGGUUUAGCCAAUCCCAUAAAACCGUUCUCAGUUCGGAUUGCAGGCUGCAACUCGCCUGC